UAAAAGGUAGUAUAAAAAAAUUAUAUAAAGCUGUUAACUUUGUGAUGUGCUCUACCAAGCACCCUUUUAG
Molecule: transfer RNA, 70 nt
Filed under: Discocelis tigrina
Lineage: Eukaryota; Metazoa; Platyhelminthes; Polycladida; Discocelidae
Description: tRNA-Asn
Source: RNAcentral